This 253-nucleotide ribosomal RNA is filed under the name uncultured bacterium. RNAcentral describes it as "partial 16S ribosomal RNA". It matches the Rfam family "Bacterial small subunit ribosomal RNA", at positions 524 to 776 of the family's 1533-position model. The record is from RNAcentral.
UACGGGGGGGGCAAGCGUUGUUCGGAAUUACUGGGCGUAAAGGGCGCGUAGGCGGCCAUCUAAGUCAGACGUGAAAUCCCCCGGCUUAACCUGGGAACUGCGUCUGAUACUGGAAGGCUCGAGUUUGGGAGAGGGAUGUGGAAUUCCAGGUGUAGCGGUGAAAUGCGUAGAUAUCAGGAGGAACACCGGUGGCGAAGGCGGCUACCUGGACGACAACUGACGCUGAGACGCGAAAGCGUGGGGAGCAAACAGG